GGCAGGGUCCGAGGAGGAGGGAGUUAGCGGAGGGAGUGCUGGUGGGGUGGUGGUCAUGAAAAUCAGACGUUCCCAAGCGACACACCCGGACCAGACCGUAGAGAAGAUGCUGGACUUGGUGCGUGGGAAUCAUCAGCGACCCCGGCUAGGGCAGCUUCGGGCAGCGUAGGGAGGAAGCCAGAUUGCAACGGAUUAAGGAGUGAGGGGGUGGCGAGAUUUGCUGUCCUGAUUCAGCCGCCGCGGCGGCAGCCCGGGCUGGCUCUCCUCCCACAGGUGCGGGCUCCACAUGCGACGGGAACACGUGUGCCCACUCGUGCCACAGGCAUGCAGAUGUUUCACCAUUGAAUGAUUUCAUACGACUAUCUGGAUUUCUGGCUUCUCUUGAAAACUGAACAUCUGGUUUCACCUUCCCUCCUGGCUGGGAUUGUGGCUGCCAUCCCAUUUUAGAUGGGUCACCCUUUCUCCGGUUUUCAACAUUCCCCAUCACUGCGUAUAGCUGUACUGUUCAAUAAGGUCAUGGGUGAAAUUGAAAUUCCAGACCGCCCUUCUUCGUGGCAAACCUUUAGAAAUUAGAUUGUACUAGGUCAGUGCUUCUGAAACCUGAAUGUGAACCCCUGGGUGAGAUUAUGAUUCAGUUGGUCUAAGGUGGGACCCACAAAUCUGCAUUUUGACACGUGCCAAGAAGAGGCCAGUGCUGCUAGUCCGGGACCAUACUCUGAAAGGUAGGCAUUAGCCAGCCAGCUUCGUAAA
This is a long non-coding RNA of Homo sapiens (human), 750 nucleotides long. RefSeq lists it as uncharacterized. The record is from RefSeq and is a predicted model, not a curated record. The transcript is spliced from 3 exons. NCBI's taxonomy places the organism in Eukaryota, Metazoa, Chordata, Mammalia, Primates, Hominidae.